Oncorhynchus tshawytscha (Chinook salmon) is the source of this 1656-nucleotide long non-coding RNA. RefSeq lists it as uncharacterized. The transcript has 2 exons. Lineage: Eukaryota; Metazoa; Chordata; Actinopteri; Salmoniformes; Salmonidae. The record is from RefSeq and is a predicted model, not a curated record.
GGACAUAGUGGUGGUGGUGGACAGUAAGAGGACCAGAGCUAGAGAUGGGACAUAGUGGUGGUGGUGGACAGUAAGAGGACCAGAGCUAGAGAUGGGACAUAGUGGCGGUGGUGGACAGUAAGAGGACCAGAGAUAGAGAUGAGACAUAGUGGCGGUGGUGGACAGUAAGAGGACCAGAGCUAGAGAUGGGACAUAUUGGUGGUGGUGGACAGUAAGAAGACCAGAGCUAGAGAUGGGACAUAUUGGUGGUGGUGGACAGUAAGAGGACCAGAGCUAGAGAUGGGACAUAGUGGCGGUGGUGAACAGUAAGAGGACCAGAGCUAGAGAUGGGACAUAGUGGAGGUGGUGGACAGUAAGAGGACCAGAGCUAGAGAUGGGACAUAGUGGCGGUGGUGGACAGUAAGAGGACCAGAGCUAGAGAUGGGACAUAUUGGUGGUGGUGGACAGUAAGAAGACCAGAGCUAGAGAUGGGACAUAUUGGUGGUGGUGGACAGUAAGAGGACCAGAGCUAGAGAUGGGACAUAGUGGUGGUGGUGGACAGUAAGAGGACCAGAGCUAGAGAUGGGACAUAGUGGCAGUGGUGGACAGUAAGAGGACCAGAGCUAGAGAUGGGACAUAGUGGUGGUGGUGGACAGUAAGAGGACCAGAGCUAGAGAUGGGACAUAGUGGUGGUGGUGGACAGUAAGAGGACCAGAGAUAGAGAUGGGACAUAGUGGUGGUGGUGGACAGUAAGAGGACCAGAGCUAGAGAUGGGACAUAGUGGAUGGGUGGUGGACAGUAAGAGGACCAGAGCUAGAGAUGGGACAUAGUGGUGGUGGUGGACAGUAAGAGGACCAGAGCUAGAGAUGGGACAUAGUGGUGGUGGUGGACAGUAAGAGGACCAGAGCUAGAGAUGGGACAUAGUGGUGGUGGUGGACAGUAAGAGCACCAGAGCUAGAGAUGGGACAUAGUGGUGGUGGUGGACAGUAAGAGGACCAGAGCUAGAGAUGGGACAUAGUGGUGGUGGACAGUAAGAGGACCAGAGCUAGAGAUGGGACAUAGUGGUGGUGGUGGACAGUAAGAGGACCAGAGCUAGAGAUGGGACAUAGUGGUGGUGGUGGACAGUAAGAGCACCAGAGCUAGAGAUGGGACAUAGUGGAGGUGGUGGACUGUAAGAGGACCAGAGCUAGAGAUGGGACAUAGUGGAGGUGGUGGACUGUAAGAGGAGCAGAGCUAGAGAUGGGACAUAGUGGAGGUGGUGGACUGUAAGAGGACCAGAGCUAGAGAUGGGACAUAGUGGUGGUGGUGGACAGUAAGAGGACCAGAGCUAGAGAUGGGACAUAGUGGUGGUGGUGAACAGUAAGAGCACCAGAGCUAGAGAUGGGACAUAGUGGAGGUGGUGGACUGUAAGAGGACCAGAGCUAGUGAUGGGACAUAGUGGAGGUGGUGGACUGUAAGAGGACCAGAGCUAGAGAUGGGACAUAGUGGAGGUGGUGGACAGUAAGAGGAAAGUACAGUACUUCUGGUUAGGGUAGGGUCAGACAAACUGCUGCAGCUCUUCCCAACCUCCAUCACCAACCACACCAUCUGACCAGCCGCAAGGACUUGUUACAGUACACACAUACACAGACAUAGAUGCACAAACCAGACACACACACACAAACAGAUAAACAAAUA